RNAcentral lists this ribosomal RNA (254 nucleotides) under uncultured bacterium. Its description in RNAcentral is "partial 16S ribosomal RNA". It matches the Rfam family "Bacterial small subunit ribosomal RNA", at positions 524 to 776 of the family's 1533-position model. The record is from RNAcentral.
UACGAAGGGGGCUAGCGUUGUUCGGAAUUACUGGGCGUAAAGCGCACGUAGGCGGACAUUUAAGUCAGGGGUGAAAUCCCGGGGCUCAACCCCGGAACGGCCUUUGAUACUGGGUGUCUUGAGUUCGGAAGAGGUGAGUGGAAUUGCGAGUGUAGAGGUGAAAUUCGUAGAUAUUCGCAGGAACACCAGUGGCGAAAGGCGGCUCACUGGUCCGAUACUGACGCUGAGGUGCGAAAGCGUGGGGAGCAAACAGG